Molecule: long non-coding RNA, 148 nt
Organism: Thalassophryne amazonica
Lineage: Eukaryota; Metazoa; Chordata; Actinopteri; Batrachoidiformes; Batrachoididae
Exons: 3
Source: RefSeq, a predicted model, not a curated record
CCUGGACCUGAACAGCCUCAAAGGGCCAAAAGAAACUAGACUAAUUACAAUACUGUAAAUUGAUCCAUUGAGAAGGAGAAAAAAUGUUCUUUCUCUGCUUCGCUUUCUGAAGAUAUGAGAAGUGGGGCAGAGGAAAAAAAACACAGGA